RNAcentral lists this ribosomal RNA (252 nucleotides) under uncultured bacterium. Its description in RNAcentral is "partial 16S ribosomal RNA". It matches the Rfam family "Archaeal small subunit ribosomal RNA", at positions 474 to 726 of the family's 1478-position model. The record is from RNAcentral.
UACCAGCACCCCGAGUGGUCGGGACGUUUAUUGGGCCUAAAGUAUCCGUAGCCGGUUCUACAAGUCUUCCGUUAAAUCCAGCUGCUUAACAGAUGGGCUGCGGAAGAUACUAUGGAGCUAGGAGGCGGGAGAGGCAAGCGGUACUCGAUGGGUAGGGGUAAAAUCCGUUGAUCCAUUGAAGACCACCAGUGGCGAAGGCGGCUUGCCAGAACGCGCUCGACGGUGAGGGAUGAAAGCUGGGGGAGCAACCGG